Molecule: ribosomal RNA, 440 nt
Filed under: uncultured bacterium
Lineage: Bacteria
Description: partial 16S ribosomal RNA
Rfam family: Bacterial small subunit ribosomal RNA
Source: RNAcentral
CCUACGGGUGGCAGCAGUGAGGGAUAUUGGUCAAUGGCCGAAACGCUGAACCAGCCACGCCGCGUGAGGGAAGACGGCUUUCGGAUUGUAAACCUCUGUUCUCUGUGAGGAUAAUGACGGUAGCAGAGGAGGAAGCUCCGGCCAACUCCGUGCCAGCAGCCGCGGUAAUACGGAGGGAGCAAGGGUUGUCCGGAUUUACGGGGUGUAAGGGGUGCGUAGGCGGCUUUGCAAGUCAGAAGUGAAAUCCAUGGGCUUAACCCAUGAACUGCUUUUGAAACUGCAGAGCUUGAGUGGAGUAGAGGUAGGCGGAAUUCCCGGUGUAGCGAUGAAAUGCGUAGAGAUCGGGAGGAACACCGGUGGCGAAGGCGGCCUGCUGGGCUCUGACUGACGCUGAGGCACGAAAGCGUGGGUAGCAAACAGGAUUAGAUACCCGGGUAGUC